Molecule: ribosomal RNA, 132 nt
Filed under: Ganoderma sp. GanO-16
Lineage: Eukaryota; Fungi; Basidiomycota; Agaricomycetes; Polyporales; Polyporaceae
Description: partial 5.8S ribosomal RNA
Rfam family: 5.8S ribosomal RNA
About the family: 5.8S ribosomal RNA (5.8S rRNA) is a component of the large subunit of the eukaryotic ribosome. It is transcribed by RNA polymerase I as part of the 45S precursor that also contains 18S and 28S rRNA.
Source: RNAcentral
UUUUGCAUCGAUGAAGAACGCAGCGAAAUGCGAUAAGUAAUGUGAAUUGCAGAAUGAAAUGAAUCAUCGAAUCUAUGAACGCACCUUGCGCUCCUUGGUAUUCCGAGGAGCAUGCCUGUUUGAGCGUCAUGA